Molecule: transfer RNA, 75 nt
Filed under: Pseudomonas phage ZC03
Lineage: Duplodnaviria; Heunggongvirae; Uroviricota; Caudoviricetes; Schitoviridae
Description: tRNA-Asn
Rfam family: tRNA
About the family: Transfer RNA (tRNA) molecules are approximately 80 nucleotides in length.
Source: RNAcentral
UGGUAAGUAGCUCAAUGGUAGAGCAUCCGGCUGUUAACCGGACGGUUGUAGGUUCGAGUCCUACCUUACCAGCCA